This 468-nucleotide ribosomal RNA is filed under the name uncultured bacterium. RNAcentral's name for it is "partial 16S ribosomal RNA". It matches the Rfam family "Bacterial small subunit ribosomal RNA", at positions 28 to 507 of the family's 1533-position model. The record is from RNAcentral.
GACGCACGCUGGCGGCGUUCUUAACACAUGCAAGUCGAACGGAAAGGCCCUGCUUUUGUUUGUUGCUCGAUUGGCGACCGGGUGAGUAACACGUGAGUAACCUACCCUUUACUUUGAGAUAACUUCAGGAAACUUUUUCUAAUACCGGAUAGGAGCUCCUGCUUCAUGGUGGGUGUUGGAAAGGUUCGGCGGUUGGGGAUUGACUCGCGGCUUAUCAGCUUGUUGUUGGGCUAGUGGCUUACCAAGGCUUUGACGGCUAGCCGGCCUGAGAGGGUGACCGGCCACAUUGGGACUGAGCUAUGCCACAGACUCCUACUGGCGGCAGCAGUGGGGACUAUUGCACCCUGGGCGGAAGUCAGACGCACGCACGCCGUGUGUGGGAUGACGGCCGUCGGGUUGUAAACCGCCUUGGACUGAGACGAAGCGUGAGUGACGGUAAUGGGUAAAGAAGCACCGGCUACCUACGUG